GGGAGAUAGCUCAGUGGUUAAGAGCACUGAUUGUUCUUCCAAGGGGCCUGGGUUCAAUUCCCAGCACCCA
Molecule: non-coding RNA, 70 nt
Organism: Cricetulus griseus (Chinese hamster)
Lineage: Eukaryota; Metazoa; Chordata; Mammalia; Rodentia; Cricetidae
Source: Rfam